RNAcentral lists this ribosomal RNA (1131 nucleotides) under uncultured bacterium (human infant) N13C. RNAcentral's name for it is "bacterial SSU rRNA". It matches the Rfam family "Bacterial small subunit ribosomal RNA", at positions 371 to 1504 of the family's 1533-position model. The record is from RNAcentral.
AUUGACGAAGUCUACCGAGCACGCCCUGAUGAAGAAGGUUUCGGAUCGUAAAACUCUGUUGUUAGAGAAGAACAAGGACGUUAGUAACUGAACGUCCCCUGACGGUAUCUAACCAGAAAGCCACGGCUAACUACGUGCCAGCAGCCGCGGUAAUACGUAGGUGCAAGCGUUGUCCGGAUUUAUUGGGCGUAAAGCGAGCGCAGGCGGUUUCUUAAGUCUGAUGUGAAAGCCCCCGGCUCAACCGGGGAGGGUCAUUGGAAACUGGGAGACUUGAGUGCAGAAGAGGAGAGUGGAAUUCCAUGUGUAGCGGUGAAAUGCGUAGAUAUAUGGAGGAACACCAGUGGCGAAGGCGGCUCUCUGGUCUGUAACUGACGCUGAGGCUCGAGAGCGUGGGGAGCAAACAGGAUUAGAUACCCUGGUAGUCCACGCCGUAAACGAUGAGUGCUAAGUGUUGGAGGGUUUCCGCCCUUCAGUGCUGCAGCAAACGCAUUAAGCACUCCGCCUGGGGAGUACGACCGCAAGGUUGAAACUCAAAGGAAUUGACGGGGGCCCGCACAAGCGGUGGAGCAUGUGGUUUAAUUCGAAGCAACGCGAAGAACCUUACCAGGUCUUGACAUCCUUUGACCACUCUAGAGAUAGAGCUUUCUUCGGGGACAAAGUGACAGGUGGUGCAUGGUUGUCGUCAGCUCGUGUCGUGAGAUGUUGGGUUAAGUCCCGCAACGAGCGCAACCCUUAUUGUUAGUUGCCAUCAUUUAGUUGGGCACUCUAGCGAGACUGCCGGUGACAAACCGGAGGAAGGUGGGGAUGACGUCAAAUCAUCAUGCCCCUUAUGACCUGGGCUACACACGUGCUACAAUGGGAAGUACAACGAGUCGCUAGACCGCGAGGUCAUGCAAAUCUCUUAAAGCUUCUCUCAGUUCGGAUUGCAGGCUGCAACUCGCCUGCAUGAAGCCGGAAUCGCUAGUAAUCGCGGAUCAGCACGCCGCGGUGAAUACGUUCCCGGGCCUUGUACACACCGCCCGUCACACCACGAGAGUUUGUAACACCCGAAGUCGGUGAGGUAACCUUUUUGGAGCCAGCCGCCUAAGGUGGGAUAGAUGAUUGGGGUGAAGUCGUAACAAGGUAACCGUA